UGAGUAAGUCAGACAGCCGCACGGGUCGAAGGGAUUCGGCUCUUGAGGAAAGUCCGGGCUCCAUAGGGCAAGGGUGCCAGAUAACGUCUGGCGAAGGUGACUUUAGGGAAAGUGCAACAGAAACACACCGCCCACCGGCACAGGCCGAGGUAAGGUUGAAAUGGUGAGGUAAGAGCUCACCGGCGGUAUGGUAACAUACCGGCCGUGUAAACCCCACCCGGAGCAAGACCAAGCAGGGAGGUAAUUGUCCGUAUGGGCAUAAUGCCUGAAAGGCGGCGGCCCGUCGCUUCCCGGGAGGUAGGUCGCUUGAGCACAUGGGCGACCAUGUGCCUAGAUAGAUGGCUGUCAAAUACAGAACCCGGCUUAUAGAUUUGCUCAUAAU
Molecule: RNase P RNA, 382 nt
Filed under: Bacillota bacterium
Lineage: Bacteria; Bacillati; Bacillota
Also listed under: 1 other name
Description: RNase P RNA component class A
Rfam family: Bacterial RNase P class A
About the family: Ribonuclease P (RNase P) is a ubiquitous endoribonuclease, found in archaea, bacteria and eukarya as well as chloroplasts and mitochondria. Its best characterised activity is the generation of mature 5'-ends of tRNAs by cleaving the 5'-leader elements of precursor-tRNAs. Cellular RNase Ps are ribonucleoproteins.
Source: RNAcentral